RNAcentral lists this ribosomal RNA (500 nucleotides) under uncultured bacterium. RNAcentral describes it as "partial 16S ribosomal RNA". It matches the Rfam family "Bacterial small subunit ribosomal RNA", at positions 30 to 523 of the family's 1533-position model. The record is from RNAcentral.
AUUGAACGCUGGCGGAAUGCUUUACACAUGCAAGUCGAACGGCAGCACGGACUUCGGUCUGGUGGCGAGUGGCGAACGGGUGAGUAAUACAUCGGAACGUGCCCAGUCGUGGGGGAUAACGUAGCGAAAGCUACGCUAAUACCGCAUACGAUCUAAGGAUGAAAGCGGGGGAUAGCAAGACCUCGCGCGAUUGGAGCGGCCGAUGGCAGAUUAGGUAGUUGGUAGGGUAAAGGCCUACCAAGCCGACGAUCUGUAGCUGGUCUGAGAGGAUGAUCAGCCACGCUGGGACUGAGACACGGCCCAGACUCCUACGGGAGGCAGCAGUGGGGAAUUUUGGACAAUGGGCGCAAGCCUGAUCCAGCCAUUCCGCGUGCAGGAUGAAGGCCUUCGGGUUGUAAACUGCUUUUGUACAGAACGAAAAGGCUCUGGUUAAUACCAGGCGCUAAUGACGGUACCCGCAGAAUAAGCACCGGCUAACUACGUGCCAGCAGCCGCGGUAA